This 468-nucleotide long non-coding RNA is filed under the name Paramuricea clavata. The record is from RNAcentral. Lineage: Eukaryota; Metazoa; Cnidaria; Anthozoa; Malacalcyonacea; Plexauridae.
CCCCAAAGAGCCCAAGGUUCCCAGAAAACGUUAUAGGCCCAAACGUUAUAGGCCAAAAUUUAAAAAUAGAGGACCCAAAGUGAGGGGCUCCAAACGAAUUUUUUGUUCUCUUUUUUAGCGCGGGGCUCUAAAGAGUCCAAGGCCCCGAAAAGCGAAACACCAAACUAAAAAAAACGCGAGGCUCCAAAGUUAAAAUUAAAAAGGCGAGGCUCCAAAAGCAGGCCUGCAAACACACAAAAUUUUUUAUUCCUUCUUUGGGCAAGGGGCUCCAAAAAGCGAUCGCAAGGCCAGAAAAUCAUAGGGUUCAGAAAAUUUCAAAAUUUGCAGCGAACUGUUACAUACUAAAAGAUCGUUGAAAUUCGUGGAAGACGGCAGAAGCCUUAUAUGGACGCUAUCAUGUUUAGCUAUUUUUCCACUGUAAAUAAAAAUAAUGUUAAUUGUAUAAAGUGCGUUGAAUUUCAGUUUGAG